Molecule: unclassified non-coding RNA, 263 nt
Filed under: plant metagenome
Description: partial contains small subunit ribosomal RNA, internal transcribed spacer 1, and 5.8S ribosomal RNA
Source: RNAcentral
UUUCCGUAGGUGAACCUGCGGAAGGAUCAUUAUUGUAUAACCGAGGUGCGAGGGCUGUCGCUGACCCGAAAGGUCGUGCACGCCCGAGUGCCCUCAAAUACUUCCAUCUCACCCCUAUGUGCACCACCGCGUGGGUCCCCCUUUGGCUUGUUCGGAGGGGGGCUUACGUUUUCACACAAACUUUGUAUGCAGUGUAGAAUGUAUUUUUUGUUUUUGCUAUCACGCAAUCAAUACAACUUUCAACAACGGAUCUCUUGGCUCUC